This 456-nucleotide ribosomal RNA is filed under the name uncultured bacterium. RNAcentral describes it as "bacterial SSU rRNA". It matches the Rfam family "Bacterial small subunit ribosomal RNA", at positions 335 to 800 of the family's 1533-position model. The record is from RNAcentral.
ACUCCUACGGGGAGGCAGCAGUGGGGGAAUAUUGCACAAUGGGCGCAAGCCUGAUGCAGCAACGCCGCGUGAGCGAUGAAGGCCUGGUCGUAAAGCUCUGUCCUCAAGGAAGAAUAAAUGACGGUACUUGUAGGAGGAAGCCCGGGCCUAACCUAACGUGCCAGCAGCCGCGGUAAUACGUAGGGGGGCAAGGCGUUAUCCGGAAUCACUGGGCGUAAAGGGGUGCGUAGGCGGUUUUUCAAGUCAGAAGUGAAAGGCUAUGGCUCAACCAUAGUAAGCUUUUGAAACUGUUAAACUUGAGUGCAGGAGAGGAAAGUGGAAUUCCUAGUGUAGAGGUGGAAAUUCGUAGAUAUUAGGAGGAACACCAGUGGCGAAGGCGACUUUCUGGACUGUAACUGACGCUGAGGCACGAAAGCGUGGGGAGCGAACAGGAUUAGAUACCCUGGUAGCACGAGA